CUCCAUUUCCUUGGGUUCCAGGGUUGAGACAAAUGCUGGAUUGUUGCGAGAGCAGACUCCAAGCCCUGGAAUAGAGGUGCCGCGCUUUCGUUCCUCUUCACAGCAGAAGAGAACUCUACUGUGUUUCUUUCCAGGUUUCUGAAGGAG
Molecule: long non-coding RNA, 147 nt
Organism: Psammomys obesus (fat sand rat)
Lineage: Eukaryota; Metazoa; Chordata; Mammalia; Rodentia; Muridae
Exons: 3
Source: RefSeq, a predicted model, not a curated record